Molecule: transfer RNA, 77 nt
Filed under: Gallionella sp.
Lineage: Bacteria; Pseudomonadati; Pseudomonadota; Betaproteobacteria; Nitrosomonadales; Gallionellaceae
Description: tRNA-Met
Rfam family: tRNA
About the family: Transfer RNA (tRNA) molecules are approximately 80 nucleotides in length.
Source: RNAcentral
AGCGGGGUGGAGCAGUCUGAUAGCUCGUCGGGCUCAUAACCCGAAGGCCGCAGGUUUGAAUCCUGCCCCCGCCACCA